Molecule: long non-coding RNA, 571 nt
Filed under: Rattus norvegicus (Norway rat)
Lineage: Eukaryota; Metazoa; Chordata; Mammalia; Rodentia; Muridae
Description: long non-coding RNA NONRATT007012
Source: RNAcentral
GGUCCCCAGGGAUUAGACCAGCCAGAGAAACAACACAGGAACAGAAGACCCAGCCUCUCCCAAGUCGAUGGAGAAGGAAACAACCGUACCACCCGGUCAACCAGGCAGGAAAUUCGUUCUCCUUUAAACACUUAGACGAAGCACGGAAUUCAUCUUAAGGAGUCAUGGAGAUGCAGUUACAUAAAGGAUGAAACAAAGAAAAAAUUCAUCCCAUCACUGCUAACAUAUGCCCAAGACCAAGUCUUGGGCACACAGGCCUUUGGGAGACAUUUCAGACCUGAGCUACAGCAGCAGCCAUCUGGUGACAGGAGACAAAUGAAGACAGGACCCAGCUGUGAAGCAGAGCUUCUAGUACUUGGUAGAACCACACUGAAGAACGCACACCCAGGAGUGUCCUGCAAAGAGCUUAUGGGGAAAGAUGCAGACAGAGGAACGGUGGCGGCAGCGCCAAGGAGUGUCUCUGCAGGCCUGCAGCGAAGCGCACCCUUGCUGUGACGGACACCUGUUUCUGUGAAACUAAACUUAGCAUCUGUUUUGAGGCUCCCAUUGCAAUAACAAACUAACCAGGGUC